AGUUUAAGCGCUUGGCAUGGAGGAGAAAGUAAGGCACCAUGAGACCCAAGCAGGAGGCUACUGCAGGUCCCAGCCCCUUGGAACAGGCCGCCGGAGCGAUUACGGGGAGGCCUGUUCAUUUCUCAAUGACUUACUGUUCCUGAGCUGGGGAAACGUGCGAAGAAUCAGGAGUAAUUUAAGGCUCCCUGCAGAAAGGAGGGAUCAUAAUUCUUCAAGAGAAACAAAUAACUUCCUACCCCUGGAUUCUCAUGGAACAACUUGGCACGGUGGCUUAGGAGCCUGAUAAACUUACCGGGACACAGAGCUUGAGCUCUCUGCGUCUCGGUUUCCCUU
Hipposideros armiger (great roundleaf bat) is the source of this 333-nucleotide long non-coding RNA. RefSeq lists it as uncharacterized. The record is from RefSeq and is a predicted model, not a curated record. Lineage: Eukaryota; Metazoa; Chordata; Mammalia; Chiroptera; Hipposideridae. The transcript has 3 exons.